ACUCUCAGAGCUGCCUCUCCCUCUGCUCAGUCACCAAUGCAUCACCUUCCUCCAUCCCCAUCACUUAUAACAAGCAACAGUAAUCAAGUAAUUAACAGUCCCGCUGAGCAGUACCAGAUGCAAACCAGUUCUCGUUCUGAUCCAAGACUAUCCCAAAUCUCAAGGAGGUCAAAUCUAGAUCCUCGUAACCAGUAUGCCCAGGAAUCUCUGACAAUGCCAUCUCGGAAUACCGUUUCAGUUAAUUCACAAAGACAACACCCUCCAAGUUUGCAGAAUUCGUCUGCCUUGUCUUCUUCUCAUCAGUUGAGACAGAAGGUUCAGCGGGAAAGCCUGGAAUCUGAAUAUUCUGUACAAACCAAGAAUUCAACAGUUCCUGAGAUUUCAGGUUUUCCUGAUCCCUCUAGCACUAGCAGUUUGUUGGCUGCUGUUUUGAAGAGUGGAGUCAUUGGUAAUAAAUCGAGUUCUGGUACUACGCCAAGUUCUCUUGAUAAGGGUGCUCUCUCAUCCCAAGCCAGUGCACAGCCUCAUCCCGCCCAGUUUUCCACAUCUGGGCCUAGGAUACCGCCGGCCUCUGUCACUAGUCUAUCAAUGGACAGAAAUGCUUCGAACUCUCCAAAUUAUUCCCAGAGAAAUGUAGAACAGCCACCAUUGCCACCUGGUCUGCCUCCAACUCUUGCAGGUGCUGCAUCAUCGCAGACGCCGAAUGCACCAAAUAUUGCUUCCAGUCCUCUUUCA
This 735-nucleotide unclassified non-coding RNA is filed under the name Hevea brasiliensis (rubber tree). Lineage: Eukaryota; Viridiplantae; Streptophyta; Magnoliopsida; Malpighiales; Euphorbiaceae. The record is from RNAcentral.